AUACGAAGGGUGCAAGCGUUACUCGGAAUUACGUGGGCGUAAAGCGUGCGUAGGUGGUUGUUUAAGUCUGUCGUGAAAGCCCUGGGCUCAACCUGGGAAUUGCGAUGGAAACUGGGCGACUAGAGUGUGGCAGAGGGUAGUGGAAUUCCUGGUGUAGCAGUGAAAUGCGUAGAGAUCAGGAGGAACAUCCGUGGCGAAGGCGACUGCCUGGGCCAACACUGACACUGAGGCACGAAAGCGUGGGGAGC
Molecule: ribosomal RNA, 248 nt
Filed under: uncultured bacterium
Lineage: Bacteria
Description: partial 16S ribosomal RNA
Rfam family: Bacterial small subunit ribosomal RNA
Source: RNAcentral